CGGACGUGGGUAACCGUGCCUCAUACAGGGGAGUAACAGUUAGAAAUGGCUGCUAAUACCGCAUAAGCACACAGCUUCGCAUGGAGCAGUGUGAAAAACUCCGGUGGUGUGAGAUGGACCCGCGUCUGAUUAGCUAGUUGGCAGGGCAACGGCCUACCAAGGCGACGAUCAGUAGCCGGUCUGAGAGGAUGAACGGCCACACUGGAACUGAGACACGGUCCAGACUCCUACGGGAGGCAGCAUG
Molecule: ribosomal RNA, 244 nt
Filed under: uncultured bacterium
Lineage: Bacteria
Description: partial 16S ribosomal RNA
Rfam family: Bacterial small subunit ribosomal RNA
Source: RNAcentral